Long non-coding RNA from Halichondria panicea, 468 nucleotides. RefSeq lists it as uncharacterized. The transcript has 2 exons. NCBI's taxonomy places the organism in Eukaryota, Metazoa, Porifera, Demospongiae, Suberitida, Halichondriidae. The record is from RefSeq and is a predicted model, not a curated record.
UGUUUUUUAAAUGUAGCAACUUUGUGAUUGACUCUCCAUGGUAGUAUUUGCUGACAAAUUUAUUAUCACACUCAUGACUUUCACUUGUGGGAUUUGUGGAAGUGUAGGUGUUGAAGUAGCAAAUGUAUAUAGGCUAGAAGUGACCCUUUAAUGUUACUACAUGCUAUUGUACACUUUAUUUGUAGUUAUACGAAUGGAUCGGCAAGUUUUUUGGGGAAGAGUUAUGAGAGAAUAAACGACGGAAGUGUCAGUUGUGGAAGACCCAAGAGUUUACAUCGGCAGACUGUAGCACGUUCACUGAACCACUAUAUACCAAAGAGGACGUUCAAGAAAAUUGCAUCAUUAUUUCUGUCUUUACAUCACGAGUAGACAUACAAUAAUUAUGUUAAAUUGUUUGUAUAAUGAAUUGUUUAUGAUCUAGAUCUAUAAAAGAGAAGUUAACAUGUUCUUGAACUUCUAUUAACACUG